GGAUGUGAGGGUGAUAUGGCUGCGACAUCUGUCACCCCAUUGAUCACCAGGGUUGAUUCGGCUGAUCUGGCUGGCUAGGUGGGUGUCCCCUUCCUCCCUCACCUCUCCAUGUGCGUCCCUACUGGAGCUGCGCACUUGGUGGAAGAAGACGGCCUUCCCCAAACAGAGCCUUCCCCAAACAGAGACUGACCCGGUCUUCGUCAAGUGUAUACGAGUAGCUGCGCUCCCCUGCUAGAACCUCCAAGCAAGCUCUCAAGGUCCAGAAGUAGUAGGUGUGACUUAGAAAGGAAAAGGCAGAACUUUAGGAAAAUGGAUAUAUAUAUGUUUGUGUGUGUGUGUAUAUAUAU
This 347-nucleotide small nuclear RNA is filed under the name Erinaceus europaeus (western European hedgehog). RNAcentral's name for it is "7SK RNA". It matches the Rfam family "7SK RNA". From Rfam's summary of the family: 7SK was discovered as an abundant small nuclear RNA in the mid-70s but a possible function has only recently been suggested. Two independent studies have found that 7SK RNA binds the CDK9/cyclin T complex (known as elongation factor P-TEFb). P-TEFb activates transcription by phosphorylating the C-terminal domain of RNA polymerase II. Lineage: Eukaryota; Metazoa; Chordata; Mammalia; Eulipotyphla; Erinaceidae. The record is from Rfam by way of RNAcentral.